RNAcentral lists this unclassified non-coding RNA (2138 nucleotides) under Dimorphilus gyrociliatus. Its description in RNAcentral is "dgyrCDS5677". The record is from RNAcentral. Lineage: Eukaryota; Metazoa; Annelida; Polychaeta; Dinophilidae.
AUAAAAAAUCCAGAAAAGUCAAGAGACAUAAAGAAUCGUAUGCAUACAGCCAUACUGCUGAAAAUGGCUUAACUUAUUUGUACAAUGGUUUUAUCUUCUUAAUUGAAAAUAUUUAGGUUUUUUAUUGUAUUUUAAGAGAGUGAAAAGUACAUGAUAAUGCUUCUAACAAGGAAUUUAAUAAUUACCUUUACUUUGUGUUUAUGGAAUGUAGUUAGUUGUGACGAUAAGAAUGAAUGUAGUAUGGAUAGUGAUUGCUUUACAUGCUGUCCACCUCCCACUACUACUAUAGAAUGUAAGAAUGAUGGUGAGGUAAUUAUUAUAAAAGAUAGUAAAUUUGUAUAUGAUGGUCAAAAGAAGUUAUGCGAAAGUAGGACAAGAGAGGAUCUUUUGGAAUCCUUCCGGGAUAUAAUUAAUAACAAACAAGAGAAUAGUUGUAUAUCUACUAAAUACAAUAAUCUAAGAAGAUCUUGUACAGGUCGAAAAAUAUGCCAAAUAAAAUUGGUUGAAAAAGAAGAUUGCCCAGGCGUUAGUAGACCUCAGCAUUUAUUACACAGCUAUAUUUAUUACCAAUAUAUAUGUCUUAAAGCCAAGGUUUUAGAAAGAGAGGAUUUACCGUGUUUUGAUAUAAAUGAAGGAACAUAUAAUAUAGUACCGAAAGUUAACAUCUCUUCUGUAUGUCUAAAAUUUAAACUUAAUCAUAUUCGCUUAAGUAUAAAAGUUCACUUGAAAUCUGGCUUGGGUUUCAAUCAAAAUUGCAAAUAUGGCACAUUAAAUGGACAGCAGAUAAAAAUCUUAUUUUCUAAGAGAAACGAUGCUAUAUUUGGGAAUGUAGAACUGAAAAAUAGCACUCAAAACAACGUUACUAUAAUGUUGGUCGGAUGCGAAUGGCUUUAUGGGUCUAUUACAGUUGAAAGGAUACUUAGCUCACCAUCUUUGAGGGAAAUAUCUGAAGAUCCUAUUAGUUUGCUACCUAAAUAUUAUAGCAAGAAUCCUGAUAAAACAACAACUAUUAUUAUACCAACCGAUGGUAAAACUGAUGGGAAGAGUAGCAGAAAAAUGAUUACUAUUAUCGUAAUAUGCGUCAUUACGCUUUUGGUCAUCGUAUUAGCUGUCAUAUUUGGUGUUAUAUAUCUCAAAAGGAGAAGAAGAAAUGACUCUGACUUUAGUGAAAACACGCAUCUAAAUGAUCAGCAGAGAGUCAAUGGCGAUACCAGUAAACCUAUUAUCAGAGUUAGAUCAAAGGAAUCAUUGAGCUCCAACGUUAGUCGAACUAGUAUGAGAAUCAAACAUUCAAAUGGAGAAGAAACUAUUUUACACUUGAAUUGUGAAGCUUCCGAAGUAGACUCUAUAGAAAUGUGGCCUAUUGAUCCGCAACCUUACGAAAGCGGAGUACUAGAUGAUACUCCCAAACUGGAUGCGCUACCAAAGCAAAGACUGUUACCUAAAGUUCCACCACCAAUAAAAGAGGAGUCUUACAACUCACUGGGAAAGAAAUCGUGAUGUUUAAAAUACGUGUAAAUUCCCCUUUUAAAUUAGAUCUGACAUGUUUAACUCUAAUUAAUCAUGACAUUUUUUGUACUAUAGAUAUAGAAAUUACUGAUGCUCUAUAAUUACAAAUCUGCCCCUACGAAAUAAAAAAUUAGACAAUAAAAAAGAAAAGGACGCUCGUUUGUUUUGAUUGCAUAAUGUAAAAAUAACUCGGCUACUCACCCCAUUGAUUGGACUGAUAACAUGUAGAUAAUUAGUAAAAUGAAUAUUGAACCUUCCAUCUACCAAUAUCUUCCAACUUCCGUUCCUAAAGCUAAAUAAAGUCGAAAUGUCAUCGAGUUGGACAUUUAUAUAUUAUACCGUCAAUUCGAUACGAAUGGCGAUGUGUAAAACGCGAGGUGUCGCUUCGAUACCUUAUUCGAACUGUGCAUGUUAAUUAGUUGCUGCUGUAAUCAACCGGUUAUUUAUCUUUGAUUUUUUUGUGACUAACAUAUAUUAAGUUUUUUAUGUAUUGUUGAAGCAAAUAUUUUAAACAAUAACUUGAAUGAAAUAAAAAGAAGGUAAAACUGGCUAAUAAAUGAAGCUUUUGUCUCUAUUUUACGUUCUAUUCAAAGGAUAAAAAAUAUAUCUUAUAAUUUUUUAAUGCUAAA